GGCCCGAUUUUAGUUAGCGGAGAAGCUUUCGUGCCUUCCGGAACUCUGAGACAGGUGCUGCAUGGCUGUCGUCAGCUCUUGUAGUGAAAUGUUGGGUUAAGUCCCGCAACGAGCGCAACCCUUAUCCUUGUUUGCCAGCACGUAAUGGGGGGAACUCCAGGGAGACUGCCGGUGAUAAACCGGAGGAAGGUGGGGACAACGUCAAGUCUUCUUGGCCCUUACGAGAAGGGCUACACACGUGCUCCAAUGGCGAAUACAGAGGGUUGCCAACUGGGGGGGGGGAGCAAAUCCAACAAAGCGCGUCGUAGUCAGGAUUGGAGUCUGCACCUCGACUCCAUGAAGUGGGAAUCGCUAGUAUCCUUGAAUCAAAAUGCCCCGGGGAUUACUUUCCCGGGUCUUGUACACACGAAA
This 411-nucleotide ribosomal RNA is filed under the name uncultured Gammaproteobacteria bacterium. RNAcentral's name for it is "bacterial SSU rRNA". It matches the Rfam family "Bacterial small subunit ribosomal RNA", at positions 986 to 1387 of the family's 1533-position model. The record is from RNAcentral. Lineage: Bacteria; Pseudomonadati; Pseudomonadota; Gammaproteobacteria.